AGUGUCAAAGUUGCAGGACUGUAGUGGCGUGGUGUGUACGGGCCAAAUUGAAGCAACCAGGACCAAGGCCCAAGAGUGGGGGACAAGCAGAUGUUUGCCCACUGCUGGAGUUGGCUUGGAGCCGAUUCGGAGGGACAGAUCUGAGUCGAAGCGGUGGGGCCCGGGUCCGAGCUUGAGACCGAGGAACAAGAUGAUGUUUGACCAAUUUAAGUGCUGGGCCCGACUGGAAAGCUCAGUUAGUUUCUGGAGUGACAAGCAACUCUUAAAUUGAGGAAGUUUUAAAAAGAUCCCAAGAUGACUACCUACCUGUUGAACCGCAGAACAUAUUUCUUCAGAAGGGGGAGAGAGAUGUUCGAGUUUUUUUUAAAGCGCAGCAUGUUUAUUUCUUCGGAAGGGGAAAGAGAUGUUUGAGUUUUUAAAAAAGGCAGGAAGUGGACAAAGUUCACAGGUUCAUGCAUGGCCUGCUGUAACCACGAAGCCGUCACACCAGCAGCCCUACUUUACUUGGAGUUUGAGGAGAUUUGGUAUGUCACCACAGACCCUUAUAGAUAUGCGGCAGAGAGCAUUCUGACUUGUAACAUCAUAGCCUGGUAUGGAAGCUCCAAUGCACGGGAUCGUAAAAAGCUACAGAGGGUUGUAGAGCCAGCCAUCUUCAUCGUGGAUGCAAUUCUCCCACAAUUCAGAGUAUCUUCAAAGGGCUGUGUCUCAAGA
This is a long non-coding RNA of Mobula hypostoma (lesser devil ray), 711 nucleotides long. RefSeq lists it as uncharacterized. NCBI's taxonomy places the organism in Eukaryota, Metazoa, Chordata, Chondrichthyes, Myliobatiformes, Myliobatidae. The record is from RefSeq and is a predicted model, not a curated record. The transcript has 3 exons.